RNAcentral lists this ribosomal RNA (554 nucleotides) under uncultured Archaeospora. RNAcentral describes it as "SSU rRNA". It matches the Rfam family "Eukaryotic small subunit ribosomal RNA", at positions 548 to 1103 of the family's 1831-position model. Lineage: Eukaryota; Fungi; Glomeromycota; Glomeromycetes; Archaeosporales; Archaeosporaceae. The record is from RNAcentral.
UUGGAGGGCAAGUCUGGUGCCAGCAGCCGCGGUAAUUCCAGCUCCAAUAGCGUAUAUUAAAGUUGUUGCAGUUAAAAAGCUCGUAGUUGAAUUUUGGAUUCUUCCAAUUGGUCCAUCUUUUAGAUGAGUACUGGUUGUGUGGGGUCUAUCCGCCUGGUGAUACGUAAUGUCCUUUAUUGGAUGUUGCGGGUAGUCAGGACCUUUACCUUGAAAAAAUUAGAGUGUUUAAAGCAGGCUUAUGCCGGAAUACAUUAGCAUGGAAUAAUAGAAUAGGACGAAGUUGUUCUAUUUUGUUGGUUUCUAGGACAACCGUAAUGAUUAAUAGGGAUAGUUGGGGGCAUUAGUAUUCAAUUGUCAGAGGUGAAAUUCUUGGAUUUAUUGAAGACUAACUACUGCGAAAGCAUUUGCCAAGGAUGUUUUCAUUAAUCAGUGAACGAAAGUUAGGGGAUCGAAGACGAUCAGAUACCGUCGUAGUCUUAACCAUAAACUAUGCCGACUAGGGAUCGGGCGAUGUUUCUAUCUUGACUCGCUCGGCACCCUAUGGGAAACCAAAG